UGGAAAUUGUGUACUUACCUCAGAAAAAUAUCUAUGUUCUCACCAAAGCCUACUGUCAAAUAGGAUGAAUUCAUUUCAGGGAUCAGAGCCUCACGGUGCAGUGCUGGUAGCUUUUGGAAGUCUCCAAGGCCAGUUGCAAAGCCACUCUGUGGGUUCUGGAGAAGAAUGAGCUUGGCUCUUGAAGUGUACUUAUAU
RNAcentral lists this long non-coding RNA (195 nucleotides) under Pongo abelii (Sumatran orangutan). Its description in RNAcentral is "lincRNA". Lineage: Eukaryota; Metazoa; Chordata; Mammalia; Primates; Hominidae. The record is from RNAcentral.